This 253-nucleotide ribosomal RNA is filed under the name uncultured bacterium. RNAcentral describes it as "partial 16S ribosomal RNA". It matches the Rfam family "Bacterial small subunit ribosomal RNA", at positions 524 to 776 of the family's 1533-position model. The record is from RNAcentral.
UACGAAGGGGGCAAGCGUUGUUCGGAAUUACUGGGCGUAAAGGGCUCGUAGGCGGCCAACUAAGUCAGACGUGAAAUCCCUCGGCUUAACCGGGGAACUGCAUCUGAUACUGGAUGGCUUGAGUUCGGGAGAGGGAUGUGGAAUUCCAGGUGUAGCGGUGAAAUGCGUAGAUAUCUGGAGGAACACCGGUGGCGAAGGCGGCAUCCUGGACCGACACUGACGCUGAUGAGCGAAAGCCAGGGGAGCAAACGGG